GAUGAAUGCUGGCGGCGUGCCUAACACAUGCAAGUCGAGCGGUAACAGGAGUAGUUUACUACUUGCUGACGAGCGGCGGACGGCUGAGUAACGCGUGGGAACGUGCCCCAAAGUGAGGAAUAACUGCCCGAAAGGGUAGCUAAUACCGCAUAUGAUCUUCGGAUUAAAGGAUUUAUCCGCUUUGGGAGCGGCCCGCGUACGAUUAGGUAGUUGGUAGGGUAAUGGCCUACCAAGCCGACGAUCGUUAACUGGUCUUAGAGGAUGAUCAGUCAGACUGGAACUGAGACACGGUCCAGACUCCUACGGGAGGCAGCAGUGAGGAAUCUUCCACAAUGGGCGAAAGCCUGAUGGAGCAACGCCGCGUGCAGGAUGAAGGCCUUCGGGUUGUAAACUGCUUUUAUAAGUGAAGAAUAUGACGGUAACUUAUGAAUAAGCACCGGCUAACUACGUGCCAGCCGCCGCCGUA
This 466-nucleotide ribosomal RNA is filed under the name uncultured bacterium. Its description in RNAcentral is "partial 16S ribosomal RNA". It matches the Rfam family "Bacterial small subunit ribosomal RNA", at positions 28 to 522 of the family's 1533-position model. The record is from RNAcentral.